AUGGACCCGGCCGAGAUUUUGAAUGCUCGUUUCCAUUGGGGUGGCGAGUUCAUCCGAAUUGGUCCUAAUUUGCAAUAUGUUGGGGCAAAGGAAGCUAUGUCAGAGAUAGAAAGAGACAAAUUGUCGCUGCAGGAAGUGAAGGGCUAUUUGAAGGAUCACAUGGCACUGAAGGAAUCAAGGAAGUUCUAUUUUCUGACUCCUGGUCAAGAACUUAUCAAUGGUUUGAUGUUUCUGAAUGAUGACAACAAGUGUGUGCAGAUGGCAGAUUAUGUAUUUGUUGGUGCAGUUGUAGAUGUGUUUGUGGAGUACUGUGGACAAGAAGAUAGUGCUGACAGUAUCAGUGGGAGUGACUUUGAGGAUGAGAUUGUGGCAUUGACAGAAUCUUGUUAUCACUCCUGCUGA
Molecule: ribosomal RNA, 402 nt
Filed under: Triticum aestivum (bread wheat)
Lineage: Eukaryota; Viridiplantae; Streptophyta; Magnoliopsida; Poales; Poaceae
Description: partial small subunit ribosomal RNA
Source: RNAcentral